AGUGAACGCUGGCGGUAGGCCUAACACAUGCAAGUCGAACGGCAGCACAGUAAGAGCUUGCUCUUACGGGUGGCGAGUGGCGGACGGGUGAGGAAUACAUCGGAAUCUACUUUUUCGUGGGGGAGAACGUAGGGAAACUUACGCUAAUACCGCAUACGACCUACGGGUGAAAGCAGGGGAUCUUCGGACCUUGCGCGAUUGAAUGAGCCGAGGCCGGAUUAGCUAGUUGGCGGGGUAAAGGACCACCAAGGCGACGAUCCGUAGCUGGUCUGAGAGGAUGAUCGGCCACACUGGAACUGAGACACGGUCCAGACUCCUACGGGAGGCAGCAGUGGGGAAUAUUGGGCAAUGGGCGCAAGCCUGAUCCAGCCAUACCGAGUGGGUGAAGAAGGCCUUCGGGUUGUAAAGCCCUUUUGUUGGGAAAGAAAAGCAGCAGGUUAAUACCCCGCUGUUCUGACGGUACCUAAAGAAUAAGCACCGGCUAACUUCGUG
This 492-nucleotide ribosomal RNA is filed under the name uncultured bacterium. RNAcentral describes it as "partial 16S ribosomal RNA". It matches the Rfam family "Bacterial small subunit ribosomal RNA", at positions 29 to 507 of the family's 1533-position model. The record is from RNAcentral.